UCGAGAAUCUUCGGCAAUGAGCGCAAGCUUGACCGAGCGACGCCGCGUGCGGGAUGAAGGCCUUCGGGUUGUAAACCGCUUUGGUCCGAAAGAAAGGGUAAAACUUGAUCGAUCGGAGAAACAAGGACGGGCUAAGUUCGUGCCAGCAGCCGCGGUAAGACGAACCGUCCAAACGUUAUUCGGAAUCACUGGGCUUAAAGGGCGCGUAGGCGGCUGUAUAAGUCAGUGGUGAAAGGCUGUGGCUUAACCAUGGGAUUGCCAUUGAUACUGUACGGCUUGAAUUAGGAUGAGGUUGGCGGAAUGUGACAUGUAGCGGUGAAAUGCUUAGAUAUGUCAUGGAACAUCGAUUGCGAAGGCAGCUGACUGGACCUGUACUGACGCUCAUGCACGAAAGCGUGGGGAGCAAACAGGAUUAGAUACCCUUGUAGUCCCUGAGCGGGCUGGCAAGGCGCAU
RNAcentral lists this ribosomal RNA (454 nucleotides) under uncultured bacterium. Its description in RNAcentral is "bacterial SSU rRNA". It matches the Rfam family "Bacterial small subunit ribosomal RNA", at positions 355 to 825 of the family's 1533-position model. The record is from RNAcentral.